RNAcentral lists this unclassified non-coding RNA (783 nucleotides) under Hevea brasiliensis (rubber tree). The record is from RNAcentral. Lineage: Eukaryota; Viridiplantae; Streptophyta; Magnoliopsida; Malpighiales; Euphorbiaceae.
UUUCCUUAACACUGCCUCUUUCUUUGCUUCUCCUCCUCCUCCUCCUCCUCGCUUCCAUUCUUUCCUUUUUUAUUUUUUUCGGAAUUGCUUGAUUGGAAAUUGUGACUGAUUUUGAACUUGUGAUUCAGUUGCAAAAGCUGGCGCGUGGUAUUCUCUCAUAAUGAUGUUUCACAUACUGUCAGAGUCACAGUGCUAGUAUUAUGCACAAGUUCAUCAGCUAUUGUGCUAGGCUAAUGCUUGCCUGUAUAUGCAUACGAUCAAAUAUGCAUCAAUAAAAGAUUUUGUAAUCUGCUUACAUGAUACCACCAUAUUGGUUGGCUUGAUGCAUGUGUGUUCUGAUAUAUCAUUUUUCUGCAUGGACAUAUUUUAUUUAGAUUAAGAUGUUGAGUCCAAAAGGACUGUCAGUGUCCUCAUUUUUUGUGGGUAAUCUGUUCCAUUUUUGCAGGAAAAUUACAGAUCUCUUGCCCCUAGCCUAUUCUUUUUGUUGAAAUCAUCUUUUAUGUAGACUUUUCUCUGGCUGUGACAAUAAUGCAGUGUGGGAAGAUGAAGAUCCUAAUACUAUUUAGGAGUUAUUUUUAUUGUAGAAUUAGGAAGUUUAAUUUAGAGUUUUAAUAUUUAGGAAUUUUAUUAUUAUUAUUAUGUCUAUAUCUUAUUUAGUAUUCUUAAUUAGAGUUGAAUUAGCAUUUCUAUUCCUAAUUUGCUUAGCAUUGUAAACUCUAUAGAUAAAGUUUUUCUAUUAUUAGGUAGAUUUGCUAUGAUAAUUUUAUGAGAUCAAUAAUAUUU